Molecule: ribosomal RNA, 501 nt
Filed under: uncultured bacterium
Lineage: Bacteria
Description: partial 16S ribosomal RNA
Rfam family: Bacterial small subunit ribosomal RNA
Source: RNAcentral
AUUGAACGCUGGCGGCAUGCCUUACACAUGCAAGUCGAACGGCAGCACGGGUGCUUGCGCCUGGUGGCGAGUGGCGAACGGGUGAGUAAUACAUCGGAACGUACCUUAUCGUGGGGGAUAACGCAGCGAAAGCUGUGCUAAUACCGCAUACGCCCUGAGGGGGAAAGCGGGGGAUCGCAAGACCUCGCGCGAUUAGAGCGGCCGAUGCCUGAUUAGCUUGUUGGUGGGGUAAAAGCCCACCAAGGCGACGAUCAGUAGCUGGUCUGAGAGGACAAUCAGCCACACUGGGACUGAGACACGGCCCAGACUCCUACGGGAGGCAGCAGUGGGGAAUUUUGGACAAUGGGGGCAACCCUGAUCCAGCAAUGCCGCGUGAGUGAAGAAGGCCUUCGGGUUGUAAAGCUCUUUUGUCAGGGAAGAAACACCGGCUCUAACACAGUCCGGGAAUGACGGUACCUGAAGAAUAAGCACCGGCUAACUACGUGCCAGCAGCCGCGGUAA